Long non-coding RNA from Clupea harengus (Atlantic herring), 739 nucleotides. Lineage: Eukaryota; Metazoa; Chordata; Actinopteri; Clupeiformes; Clupeidae. The record is from Ensembl.
UGAGGAACAGCAGACUGCUUUGGGAACACUGGAAUAUGAAACACAGACACUGAAGACAGAAAAUGCAGUCCAAGCGACUCAACUGAGAAACAUGGAGGCCAAGUUGAAGGCUGCUGAACACCAGCUGGAGCAAGUGAAGAGUGUGAAUGAAGCUCAAGCUCUUGAACUGGAGGAGCUCAGUGUGAAGUCAUCUACAACUGAGGAUGAGCUGAGGCAGCACCAGACUACAGUGGGGAACUUAACAGGAAAGGUGAAGGAGAUACAACAAGAGAAUUCAGUCCAAGCUUCGGAGCUCCGGGACCUUGCCAUGAGGUCAAAUUCCACUGAAGGCCUAGUUGAGGAACAGCAGACUGCUUUGGGAACACUGGAAUAUGAAACACAGACACUGAAGACAGAAAAUGCAGUUCAAGACCAGGAGCUGGUGACCCUUAAUGAAAGGUCAGAUAUCACUGAGGCUCUGGUGGAUGAGCACAACAUUGUGAUGGAGGAGCUGAAGACUGAGCUGGAUGGACUGGAAAGGGAGAAUGCAGGUACGAGUACUAAAUUCAGUGAGAAUGGAGGUACAAGCACUAGAUUGAGUGAGAUGCAGGUACGAGUACUAGACUGAGUGAGAAUGCAGGUACAAGUACUAGAUUGAGUGAGAAUGCAGGUACGAGUACUAGAUUGAGUGAGGUGGAUUCCUGCAAAAACAUACCAAUGUCAAUAUCAGCACUCUGAGUAUAUGGUAUAAGUUACAGGU